RNAcentral lists this ribosomal RNA (468 nucleotides) under uncultured bacterium. Its description in RNAcentral is "partial 16S ribosomal RNA". It matches the Rfam family "Bacterial small subunit ribosomal RNA", at positions 28 to 507 of the family's 1533-position model. The record is from RNAcentral.
GACGAACGCUGGCGGCGUGCUUAACACAUGCAAGUCGAACGGAAAGGCCCUGCUUUUGUGGGGUGCUCGAGUGGCGAACGGGUGAGUAACACGUGAGUAACCUGCCCUUGACUUUGGGAUAACUUCAGGAAACUGGGGCUAAUACCGGAUAGGAGCUCCUGCUGCAUGGUGGGGGUUGGAAAGUUUCGGCGUUUGGGGAUGGACUGGCGGCUUAUCAGCUUGUUGGUGGGGUAGUGGCUUACCAAGGCUUUGACGGGUAGCCGGCCUGAGAGGGUGACCGGCCACAAUGGGCCUGAGGUACGGCCCAGACUCCUACGGGAGGCAGCGGUGGGAAAUAUUGCAAAAUGGGCGGAAGCCUGAUACAGCAACGCCGGGUGCGGGAUGACGGCCUUCGGGUUGUAAACCGCUUUCGCCUGUGACGAAGCGUGAGUGACGGUAAUGGGUAAAGAAGCACCGGCUAACUACGUG